RNAcentral lists this ribosomal RNA (472 nucleotides) under Salmonella enterica. RNAcentral describes it as "bacterial SSU rRNA". It matches the Rfam family "Bacterial small subunit ribosomal RNA", at positions 1 to 469 of the family's 1533-position model. The record is from RNAcentral. Lineage: Bacteria; Pseudomonadati; Pseudomonadota; Gammaproteobacteria; Enterobacterales; Enterobacteriaceae. RNAcentral also lists the same sequence under 1 other name.
AAAUUGAAGAGUUUGAUCAUGGCUCAGAUUGAACGCUGGCGGCAGGCCUAACACAUGCAAGUCGAACGGUAACAGGAAGCAGCUUGCUGCUUUGCUGACGAGUGGCGGACGGGUGAGUAAUGUCUGGGAAACUGCCUGAUGGAGGGGGAUAACUACUGGAAACGGUGGCUAAUACCGCAUAACGUCGCAAGACCAAAGAGGGGGACCUUCGGGCCUCUUGCCAUCAGAUGUGCCCAGAUGGGAUUAGCUUGUUGGUGAGGUAACGGCUCACCAAGGCGACGAUCCCUAGCUGGUCUGAGAGGAUGACCAGCCACACUGGAACUGAGACACGGUCCAGACUCCUACGGGAGGCAGCAGUGGGGAAUAUUGCACAAUGGGCGCAAGCCUGAUGCAGCCAUGCCGCGUGUAUGAAGAAGGCCUUAGGGUUGUAAAGUACUUUCAGCGGGGAGGAAGGUGUUGCGGUUAAUAACCG